This 85-nucleotide transfer RNA is filed under the name Aliarcobacter cryaerophilus. Its description in RNAcentral is "Arcobacter cryaerophilus tRNA-Leu". It matches the Rfam family "tRNA". From Rfam's summary of the family: Transfer RNA (tRNA) molecules are approximately 80 nucleotides in length. The record is from RNAcentral. Lineage: Bacteria; Pseudomonadati; Campylobacterota; Epsilonproteobacteria; Campylobacterales; Arcobacteraceae. RNAcentral also lists the same sequence under 13 other names.
GCGGAUGUGGUGAAAUUGGUAUACACGCCAGACUUAGGAUCUGGUGCCUCACGGUGUAAGAGUUCGAGUCUCUUCAUCCGCACCA